Notolabrus celidotus (New Zealand spotty) is the source of this 5191-nucleotide RNA transcript. It is a transcript of the gene named NLR family CARD domain-containing protein 3-like, with no coding region annotated. The transcript has 11 exons. NCBI's taxonomy places the organism in Eukaryota, Metazoa, Chordata, Actinopteri, Labriformes, Labridae. The record is from RefSeq and is a predicted model, not a curated record.
CUGUGGUAUGUCCUGUCAGACUUUCACUUUUGUUUUGAGUGCAGCUGAGGCGCAGUUUGUUCCUCCGUGGUGAACUUGAGCUGAACCUACAAACCAGCGAAGAUGCUCUGCACAGAGGACACAGAGGAAGGAGUCCCUCCCGUUAAAACCUCUCAGUUGGAGGCUCAGAGACCAGACUCUGAUGGACCCAGCUGUGUGUCCAUGAAGAGUGACCGAUCUAAAGAUUUUUUUAUUGAGUUUAAAGAUGGACGACCUGCUGAUAGAAGAGUUCAGCUGAAUGGCUCGGAAUUCCAUGACAAGCCCGUCCAGCAGCAUCAAACACACCCGGACUCCAUCUUUAAUAUGCUGGAGAAGGACUUUUUCAACUUUGUGAGGAACGAGCUCAAGAGAGUGCACAGGGUUCUGACAUCAGAUUUCCCAGCAUCCUUAGAGAGUGAGGAAGAGGAGGAGGUGUUGGAUAGUGAGGAUGAAGGGCAGAGGAGGAGUAGAGAAGCAUUUCUGGAGAUCACUCUGCACCUUCUGAGGAGGAGGAGGCAGGAGGAUCUGGCUGACUGUCUGUGGAGCAAAACAGUCGUUCCAGAGUGCGGACACAAACUGAAGUCUGACCUGAAGGAGAAGUUCCAGUGUGUGUUUGAGGGGAUCGCGAAAGCAGGAAACCCUACCCUCCUAAACCAGAUCUACACAGAGCUCUACAUCACAGAGGGAGGGACUGGAGAGGUCAAUGAUGAACAUGAGGUCAGACAGAUUGAAGCAGCAUCCAGGACACCACACAGACCAGAGACCACCAUCAGACAAGAAGACAUCUUUAAAGGCUCACCUGGAAGAGAUCAACCAAUCAGAGCAGUGCUGACAAAGGGAGUGGCUGGCAUCGGGAAAACAGUCUUAACACAGAAGUUCACUCUGGACUGGGCUGAAGACAAAACCAACCAGGACAUCCAAUUCACAUUUCCCUUCACUUUCAGAGAGCUGAAUGUGCUGAGAGAGAGAAAGUUCAGCUUGGUGGAACUUGUUCAUCACUUCUUUACUCAGACCAGAGAAGCAGGACUCUGCAGGUUUGAAGAGUUCCAGGUUGUGUUCAUCUUUGACGGUCUGGAUGAGUGUCAACUUCCUCUGGACUUCCACAACAAUCCGAUCCUGACUGAUGUUACAGAGUCCACCUUAGUGGAUGUGCUGCUGACAAACCUCAUCAGGGGGAACCUGCUCCCCUCUGCUCGCCUCUGGAUCACCACAAGACCUGCAGCAGCCAAUCAGAUCCCUCCUGAGUGUGUUGACAUGGUGACAGAGGUCAGAGGGUUCACUGACCCUCUGAAGGAGGAGUACUUCAGGAAGAGGUUCAGAGACCAGGAGCAGGCCAGCAGAAUCAUCUCCCACCUCAAGACAUCCCGAAGCCUCCACAUCAUGUGCCACAUCCCGGUCUUCUGCUGGAUCACUGCUACAGUUCUGGAGGAUGUGCUGAAGACCAGAGAGGGAGGAGAGCUGCCCAGGACCCUGACUCAGAUGUACAUCUACUUCCUGGUGGUUCAGUCCAAACUGAAGAGCAUCAAGUACAAUAGAGGAGCUGAGACUGAUCCACUCUGGAGUCCAGAAAGUAGGAACAUGAUCCAGUCUCUGGGAAAACUGGCUUUUGAUCAGCUGCAGAAAGGAAACCUGAUCUUCUAUGAGUCCGACCUGACAGAGUGUGGCAUCAAGAUCAAGGAAGCCUCAGUGUACUCAGGAGUGUUCACACAGGUCUUCAGAGAGGAGGGGGGACUGUACCAGGACAAGGUGUUCUGCUUCAUCCACCUGAGUGUUCAGGAGUUUCUGGCUGCUCUUCAUGUCCAUUUGACCUUCACCAAGUCUGGACUCAACCUGAUGGAAGAAGAACAAAGAACAUCCUGGUGGACUUACUUAUUUGGCCAAAACAAAGAAACACGUUUCUACCAGAGUGCUGUGGACCAGGCCUUUAACAGUCCAAACGGACACCUGGACUUGUUCCUGCGCUUCCUCCUGGGUCUUUCACUGCAGACCAAUCAGACUCUCCUGAGAGGUCUGCUGACUCAGACAGGAAGUAGCUCACAGACCAAUCAGGAAACAGUCGAGUACAUCAAGAAGAGGACUGAGUCGACCCUCUCUGCAGAGAGAAGCAUCAACCUGUUCCACUGUCUGAAUGAACUGAAUGAUCGUUCUCUGGUGGAGGAGAUCCAACAGUCCCUGAGAUCAGGAUGUCUCUCCACAGAGAAACUGUCUCCUGCUCAGUGGUCAGCUCUGGUCUUCAUCUUACUGUCCUCAGAGAAAGACCUGGACGUGUUUGACCUGAAGGAAUACUCUGCUUCAGAGGAGGCUCUUCUGAGGCUGCUGCCAGUGAUCAAAGCCUCCAACAAAGCUCUGCUGAGUGGAUGUAACCUGUCAGAGAGAAGCUGUGAAGCUCUGUCCUCAGUCCUCAGCUCACAGUCAUCCAGUCUGAGAGAGCUGGACCUGAGUAACAACGAUCUGCAGGAUUCAGGAGUGAAUCUGCUCUCUGCUGGUCUGAAGAGUCCACACUGCAGACUGGAAACUCUCAGUCUCUCAGGUUGUCUGAUCACAGAGGAAGGCUGUGCUUCUCUGGCCUCAGCACUGAGCUCCUCCAGUCUGAGAGAGCUGGACCUGAGCUACAACCAUCCAGGAGAACGUGGAGAGAAGCUACUGUCUGACAGACAGAAGGAUGCACUCUGCAGACUGGAGACACUGAGCUUACAGACAUCACCCAGAGGAGUGGCAUGAGAGGACACUAAUGACCUUUAAGACUUGAAACAGACUCUAACCUGUUGUUCACGCUGAGUUGGAUCAUGGUGGAAGGAACAGACUGAAACCUGGUCUGAAGAAGUGGGCCUGUGAGCUGGAAGUGGACACAAACACAACAAGCAGAAAACUCAAACUGUCUGACAACAACAGGACGGUGACACACGUGAAGGAAGCUCAGUUGUAUUUCGAUCAUCCAGACAGAUUCGACUACUGGCCCCAGCUGCUGUGUCGGACUGGUCUGACCGGUCGCUGUUACUGGGAGGUCGAGUGGAGAGGAAGAGUUGUUGUAUCGACGAGUUGCAGAGGAAUCAGCAGGAGAGGAACCAGUGAAGACUGCGUGUUUGGAUGGAACAAUCAGUCCUGGAGUCUGAUCUGCUAUGAUGAAGGUUACUCUGUCCGUCACAAUACCAGAGAAACAGACGUCCCAGUCUCCUGGUCCUCUGCCUCUCACAGAGUCGCAGUGUAUGUGGACUGUCCUGCUGGCACUCUGUCCUUCUACAGAGUCGCCUCUGACUCACUGAUCCACCUCCACACCUUCAGCAACUCCUUCACUGAGCCUGUUUAUCCUGGUUUUGGGCCCUGGUUACCAGGUUCCUCAGUGUCUCUGUGAGAUCUGUAGGUCAGACAAACUGCUGACUGCAGCCAGAGGUUCAUUCAAAAGUCAGAGGACUUUGGUCUGAGGCUACGUCCACCAUAGACUGCAAAAAAAUAUGGACGUAGGAUCCGUGACGUCACCCAUGUGUUUCUGAAGAGCUGUUUUGAGACCAAUCGGCUGCGGCAGCCAUAUUGCUUCUGUCGAGCCAGUGUGACGUAAAGAGGCGGGCUUUGAGCCUCCUAGCCAACAGCUGCAGUGUUCCCACAGGCAGCUGUGCCUCUCAUUGGAAGACUAGUAAUCUCAAUAUCUUCUAAAUUACCGAAUUAGAAAAAAAUUCACCCCCCUCACAGUGAGAGGACAUCGAGAAAUUAGCUAUUCAGACUACACUCAUCUUUUGUACCAGGCUGUAAACAUGUUUAUUAAUGCUGUAAAGAUCGUCUUUUCCCCAUUCAUGUGUAUGUGACUUCCGGUACUUCCGGAGCCAGCCUCAAGCGGAUCCUCGAUGAACUGCAGCUUCUAACACUUCCGCAUUGGACUCAUAUUUUUAGACCGGAGGUUGCCGCUUGACGUCCACACGUAUACAGAAUAUUUGAAUAACACUCUCCCUUUAAAAAAACAUCCUGUCCACACCAGAGAGGUUUUUUAUAUUUCUCUGUCCACACAGCAGCCACCAGCAUUCUCUAAACUGUGUACGGAGAGUAUUAAAAACUAUGGAUCUAUUUAUUGGUCCUCACACUGUGGUGAAAUUAUGAUGAACAGCCAGGUUUCCUUCCUAACGUGCUAUUCAGUCCCUCCAGGAUUUUGCGGGAUUUUUGUGUUUGUUGCGGCCCAAAAAGCCUGAUUUUGCGACAGCUUUUUUUUUAAAUUGCAGUGAAAAUUGCAAAAUUUUUUGGCUUCUUUCCCCCAAUAAUAUCUCAGGGGCAAGUAAAUACGCUAAAUUACAGUUGUUUUUAGAAAACAUUCUUGAUGUGGCCGCUGUGACUGUAUUUUGAGUCUCUUGAUUCACAGAAAAAUGCCAUGAAAGGACUGUUUUGCACUGUUACGACAGUCCCUGAAUGCACCUCCCAGCGACAGAGGCACAGACAGUCAGUUCAAGGCACUCUGAAAUGCAUCUGCAUCUUUGAUGACUAUGAGUUGAUCAAAACGUACUAAAUGUGUGUGAUGUAUCACCAAACUGGAAUAAAUCAAGCUGUAGAUGAGGAGCUUUUUACGGUAAUAGCGGCAACAACGUCAAACCUCAAAUAUUAAACGGACGUCCCCCGGUUGUGUCUUUGUCACUAACACACACCAGAGGUGUCACCAAUGACGUACAGGGGCUGAGGUUAAGGUAAUUGGUAAAAUUUGCUGGAAAGUUGCAGUUACAGUCUUUCACCAUUUGACAAUCUUUCCUCGUUUACAGUCUUUCACCGUUUGACAGUCUUUAACCGUUUGACAGUCUUUUACUGUUUGACAGUCUUUCACAGUUUGACAGUCUUUUACUGUUUUACAGUCUUUUACUGUUUUACAGUCUUUCACAGUUUUACAGUCUUUUACCGUUCUGAGGGUUUACAUAGCAGAGUUUUUACAUUUAGUUCUGACUAACAUAGAGAUAACAUGAAACUAAAAUCAAUAUUGAUGAUUGAUUGAUGGAUACAACAAUCUGUUUUAACUAACUCAUCCGUUAAGGCUAAAUAACGCCAUACUACUUGAUUCAUAAGCUUGAACAGAGGUUUGCAUGGUUUCUGUGUUGCACAUUUUGCCUCUGGAUUCUCACUGCCACCUAACCUGUGUAAUCUCCACUUGUAGUGUUUACAUUGAGCCGUGAGCUUGUUUCAAUAAAAGACUGAAUGACUUUGA